AAGUCGUAACAAGGUUUCCGUAGGUGAACCUGCGGGAAGGAUCAUUAAGAGAUGUGCGCAAGCACUUUCCCUUCACACACCUGUGCACCGUGGUCUCCGGACCUACAAACCUGAAGGUCACGAAACGUAUCAUAUCAUAACAAAAAUAAAAA
This 152-nucleotide unclassified non-coding RNA is filed under the name plant metagenome. RNAcentral's name for it is "partial contains small subunit ribosomal RNA and internal transcribed spacer 1". The stretch from base 1 to 47 matches the Rfam family "Eukaryotic small subunit ribosomal RNA", at positions 1786 to 1831 of the family's 1831-position model. The record is from RNAcentral.